This 492-nucleotide ribosomal RNA is filed under the name uncultured bacterium. RNAcentral describes it as "partial 16S ribosomal RNA". It matches the Rfam family "Bacterial small subunit ribosomal RNA", at positions 29 to 507 of the family's 1533-position model. The record is from RNAcentral.
AGUGAACGCUGGCGGUAGGCCUAACACAUGCAAGUCGAACGGCAGCACAGUAAGAGCUUGCUCUUACGGGUGGCGAGUGGCGGACGGGUGAGGAAUACAUCGGAAUCUACUUUUUCGUGGGGGAUAACGUAGGGAAACUUACGCUAAUACCGCAUACGACCUACGGGUGAAAGCAGGGGAUCUUCGGACCUUUCGCGAUUGAAUGAGCCGAUGUCGGAUUAGCUAGUUGGCGGGGUAAAGGCCCACCAAGGCGACGAUCCGUAGCUGGUCUGAGAGGAUGAUCAGCCACACUGGAACUGAGACACGGUCCAGACUCCUACGGGAGGCAGCAGUGGGGAAUAUUGGACAAUGGGCGAAAGCCUGACCCAGCCAUACCGCGUGGGUGAAGAAGGCCUUCGGGUUGUAAAGCCCUUUUGUUGGGAAAGAAAAGCUGCAGGUUAAUCCCCCGCUGUUCUGACGGUACCCAAAGAGUAAGCACCGGCUAACUUCGUG